RNAcentral lists this small nuclear RNA (164 nucleotides) under Suricata suricatta (meerkat). Its description in RNAcentral is "U4 spliceosomal RNA (ENSSSUG00005001610.1)". The stretch from base 1 to 146 matches the Rfam family "U4 spliceosomal RNA". Rfam says of the family: U4 small nuclear RNA (U4 snRNA) is a component of the major U2-dependent spliceosome. The record is from RNAcentral. Lineage: Eukaryota; Metazoa; Chordata; Mammalia; Carnivora; Herpestidae.
AGCUUUGCGCCAUGGAAGUAUCAUAGCCAAUGAGGUUUAUUGGAGGCAUGAUUGUUACUAUUUAUGACAAAGAGGUAUAUGAAUGUCUUGAUAUUCUCACAGAAGUGAUGUGAGUCACUGAAAUUAUUGAGCCGUAAAUAAAAUGGCAGCCAGAUGAUAAUUAC